AUUGUUUGUUAUUUUCAAGAUAAAAAAACAAAAGUCAAUACUAUAAACUUGACCUUGAGGGAUUUAUCAUUACCUUGACCUCAUUUUCUUAUGAGAAAUACUUAUAAAAAUCUCAUGCAAGAAAAAAGAAUCCUGUUAAAAGUGCGCAGAAGUGCAAUUACUGUUCGAUAUCAUAUAUGCCAAAUAUCUAAGCAAUAUCUUCUAAAAUCAUAUAUAUGAUAUAUAUAUAUUAUAUUACGCAAGAAAUUAAAGUUACAGAGGGAAAAUGAUUAUAGAACUAUUUGAAAAACUUGACAAUAUCUGGGACAUGACUUUGACCCUACACAGGUCAUUGGUCCCAAAUGGUAUUUCAAAAUCUCCAAUAUGUCUUUUGGGUUAAGAUUUCGUGCAAAUUAAUUUUUUAGAAACCCUUACUGAGGAUCAAAUAUCUCGGUCAAUAAAUUACAAAGUUGCACCCGGAUGACCCAAACUUUUUCCACUAUUCAAGACUUAUGUCAGUGUUAUGGUUUCUGACAUAUCCAUUAAUAAGGUAAAAGGUCAAAGGAUAAGGUCAACCAUAACAGCUGUCAAACAUUUACAACAUUGGAAUAGGGUUAAAAACACAUUAUCCUUUAUCCAGGACAUUGGUCUCCGCUUUCAUUACAAAAGACCCAAUGGGUCUAGGAUCUUUUUGUCUUUUUCGAAAACCGCCUUCUGAAAAGGUACAUUAAUUUUACAUAAAAAAAAAAAACAAACGUAUCGUGAUUUCAAAAAUAUUAAUCGUUGUAAAACUUGUGUUGUUAGGGUGCUCUCUCGUACGAUUUACUCAAUAUUUCCUUUUCUGUGUGCCAUACUAGUAAUGAGGAUCCGGUUAAGUGAUGUAUAGUAAGAUUAAAAUCUAAUAUGAAAUGUUGAAUAUCUAAAUAAAGGCAACAGUAGUAUACCGACGUUCAAACUCAUAAAUCCAUGGACAAAAAACAAAAUCGGGGUAACAAACUAAAACUGAGGGAAACGCAUUAAAUAUGUCACCAUGCAGUGUUGCAGUAAUUUCUCAACAACAAAAAACUGUAAAACAACAACUGUUUAAAUGUUCAGUAGUUUAUGCUGCAAUUGUCGUGCAUGUGCUGGUCCCAUAAUAAACCAUAUGUUCAGUUUAUUCUCGACUCGACGAAGUUGAUCAUAGCGACGACGGAGUCAACAAUUUUCAAAGUUUGUUCUUAUAUAAUUGUUAAAGUGUAAGUCAAUGACAAUUUGUUUGCAGUUGUAUUAGGCAUUAGCACAUCUCAUUUCCAUGGAAAUUUUAUAUGACCCCGUUUAUCCACCAGUAAUGGUAACUUAAUUGCAUUCGAAACUUUUCCAUGUUAAAUUAUGUGAUUCGGUUAUUUUGAGAUGAAUGUCAACUUCUAACAAGGCAUUGGUAAUUUCUUAUUUAGUUGUAUUCGUAUUUAAAGUUAGUGUGUAUCAUUGCAGAAGACAUUGUUUCGCACAGUAACUGUUCAUUUACUUUGAAAUUUUGGCAAUGUUUUCAUCUUUAGAUUUAGCAUGAUCGUUUGCAUUCAUAUUAUCAAAAUUACAUACAUAUUCAUAUAUUAUACAUGUUAUAGUUGAGACAAAAUACCGCAUGUUCAACAAAAUGUCAGUUAGUUUCCUAUCAAAUGGGACUUUCUUGAUAAAUGCCUUAUCGAAUAAAGCUAGUAUGUAAGAAACAGAUACAUAUCAAUACAGCCGUUCAGAC
RNAcentral lists this long non-coding RNA (1714 nucleotides) under Mytilus galloprovincialis (Mediterranean mussel). The record is from RNAcentral. Lineage: Eukaryota; Metazoa; Mollusca; Bivalvia; Mytilida; Mytilidae.